UCUCUCUCUCUCUCCCUCUCUCUUCUGUGAAUGCAUGUUUUCAUGUAUCUUGCAGACUUUGAAAACUUUUGUCACAUAAUGCAUUCAUCCAUUUAAAUCUCCUAUAUUGUCUGCUAACAAGCCUAGAUGACCGACAAGGAGGGGGAAAAAGUGAGAGAGUGAAAAGAGGGAAAUAAGAAGAGGCAAAAUUCUCUCUUUCUUGUAACUUAUGAAGCAACCUUGUCAUGCUGAAUUCAAAUAUGUUUUCCAUAGGGUUUUUUAUAGUUCUUCCAUUUUUGCUUCUCUUUUUCUUUGCCACAGCAACAAAUAGCCUGCAUAAUUUGUUGUUAGUUACAGUAUUUGGUUACAAAAGUAGAAAAUGAGGGUGAGGUGUGAUGAGUGACAUUGGAAGGAUUGCAGUCAAAGUUGAUUUACUCAGUAGAUUAUAUCCUUUCUUGCUACAUAUUAUUUUCUCUAUGCUUGUAGCCAAUUAAAUAUCCCUCAACUCACCUAAUAUCUUAAUCUGGGGGAGACAGCAUCAAAGCCCUUCAU
This 531-nucleotide unclassified non-coding RNA is filed under the name Hevea brasiliensis (rubber tree). Lineage: Eukaryota; Viridiplantae; Streptophyta; Magnoliopsida; Malpighiales; Euphorbiaceae. The record is from RNAcentral.